UGAGCUUUGAGGCUGAGGAGAUCUGCCUGUCUGACAGCCUGGAAGUAACGAUAAAAGAGAAAAAGCACGGGCAACUUGACAAGAUGUUUAAAAACAUACAUCAGUACAAUAAGACCAUGAAAACAGGAUCCUUCCUGUGGUGAGCUGGGGUCAUUUUUCUGUCAAUCAAAAUGAGAAUGAUUACGUUUAAGCAGAGUCAGCAGCAAUGUGCAUAACAAUGACCACCUCUGUUAAGAGCGGAAUCCGGGCAAAGCCUCAGGGGCCCCACUUGAACCCUCCCCAAACCUGCCAAAGAAGCUGGACCUUGUAAUAGUUACAGAUGUCAUAAACUGGCUCUGAUUUGCAAGCACUCUCUAGGUGAAAGGAGAAAUGUCUGUGGUGAUGCGGCAUUUCUGGCUCUCAGCAGCAGCAGCCACUACCUCGCCCAGAGCAGUUCUCAAGGACUGGAAACCAUCUACAGACCUGGCAGAUGCCACCUCUGCCCAUUGGCACCAAUUCGACAUAUCAUGUUAUGUAGCCCAAGCAGGCCUCUAACCUAAAGCAAUGCUCCUGCAUCAACUUUCUAGGUGUUGAGAUUAAAGAAAUACGUCACUACACCUGAUUAAUUUAAGUUUUUAUGCUUAUAUUUUACAUUGAGAUAUGUAUGUGUGUAUAUAUGUACGUAUGUAAAUAUAUUUCUGUUUCCGAUAAGCAGCAGAGAUGCUUUAAAAACAAAAUCACCAUAAAGCAUGGUCCUUAAAUGUGCCCCCAAGUGGUGUCUCCCAAAAUGUCUAGUCUGGCAAGAUUUUAUUCCUUGUUUCUCAUGAUAUGUGUUUAAAAAACAAACAAACAAAUGAAUAGAACAACAACAAAAAAGCAAACAGACAAAAACGUUUGUUCAUGAUGGGAGCAUCAUGACAUCCAGUGAAAGGCGAUAGUUGCCUGAAGCAAGCUGAGUUCAGUCCGAGAUCUAGAGGGUAGAAGGAAUGAACUAACUCUCAAGUUACCCUCUGACCUCCACAUUUGCUUGUUGCUUGCACACUCACACACACACACACACACACACACACAUACUAAAUAUAAUU
This is a long non-coding RNA of Meriones unguiculatus (Mongolian gerbil), 1064 nucleotides long. RefSeq lists it as uncharacterized. Lineage: Eukaryota; Metazoa; Chordata; Mammalia; Rodentia; Muridae. The transcript has 3 exons. The record is from RefSeq and is a predicted model, not a curated record.